This 863-nucleotide ribosomal RNA is filed under the name Kocuria rhizophila. Its description in RNAcentral is "bacterial SSU rRNA". It matches the Rfam family "Bacterial small subunit ribosomal RNA", at positions 379 to 1251 of the family's 1533-position model. The record is from RNAcentral. Lineage: Bacteria; Bacillati; Actinomycetota; Actinomycetes; Micrococcales; Micrococcaceae.
AAGCCUGAUGCAGCGACGCCGCGUGAGGGAUGACGGCCUUCGGGUUGUAAACCUCUUUCAGCACGGAAGAAGCGAAAGUGACGGUACGUGCAGAAGAAGCGCCGGCUAACUACGUGCCAGCAGCCGCGGUAAUACGUAGGGCGCAAGCGUUGUCCGGAAUUAUUGGGCGUAAAGAGCUCGUAGGCGGUUUGUCGCGUCUGCUGUGAAAGCCCGGGGCUUAACCCCGGGUGUGCAGUGGGUACGGGCAGACUUGAGUGCAGUAGGGGAGACUGGAAUUCCUGGUGUAGCGGUGAAAUGCGCAGAUAUCAGGAGGAACACCGAUGGCGAAGGCAGGUCUCUGGGCUGUUACUGACGCUGAGGAGCGAAAGCAUGGGGAGCGAACAGGAUUAGAUACCCUGGUAGUCCAUGCCGUAAACGUUGGGCACUAGGUGUGGGGAACAUUCCACGUUUUCCGCGCCGUAGCUAACGCAUUAAGUGCCCCGCCUGGGGAGUACGGCCGCAAGGCUAAAACUCAAAGGAAUUGACGGGGCCCGCACAAGCGGCGGAGCAUGCGGAUUAAUUCGAUGCAACGCGAAGAACCUUACCAAGGCUUGACAUACACCGGACCGGGCCAGAGAUGGUCUUUCCCCCUUGUGGGGCUGGUGUACAGGUGGUGCAUGGUUGUCGUCAGCUCGUGUCGUGAGAUGUUGGGUUAAGUCCCGCAACGAGCGCAACCCUCGUUCUAUGUUGCCAGCACGUGAUGGUGGGGACUCAUAGGAGACUGCCGGGGUCAACUCGGAGGAAGGUGGGGAUGACGUCAAAUCAUCAUGCCCCUUAUGUCUUGGGCUUCACGCAUGCUACAAUGGCCAGUACAAUGGGUUGCG